This is a non-coding RNA of Notechis scutatus (mainland tiger snake), 119 nucleotides long. The record is from RefSeq and is a predicted model, not a curated record. NCBI's taxonomy places the organism in Eukaryota, Metazoa, Chordata, Lepidosauria, Squamata, Elapidae.
UUGUAAAAUUUAUAUUCUAAAACACAGUAUUUGAACAAAAUGAUUCGGUUGAUAUCUGCAUAUGUAGGAUUGAUUGGGGUAGAUUGCAAGGGCAACUCCAAAAAUAUAAUGUUACUAUA